RNAcentral lists this ribosomal RNA (442 nucleotides) under uncultured bacterium. RNAcentral describes it as "partial 16S ribosomal RNA". It matches the Rfam family "Bacterial small subunit ribosomal RNA", at positions 338 to 795 of the family's 1533-position model. The record is from RNAcentral.
CCUACGGGGGGCAGCAGUAGGGAAUCUUUCACAAUGGGCGAAAGCCUGAUGGAGCAACGCCGCGUGCAGGAUGAAGGCCUUCGGGUUGUAAACUGCUUUUAUAAGCGAGAAAUAUGAUGGUAACUUAUGAAUAAGGAUCGGCUAACUACGUGCCAGCAGCCGCGGUCAUACGUAGGAUCCGAGCAUUAUCCGGAGUGACUGGGGGUAAAGAGUUGCGUAGGUGGCAUAAUAAGUAGCUAGUGAAAUCUGGUGGCUCAACCAUUCAGACUAUUAGCUAAACUGUUAAGCUCGAGACCGUUAGGGGUAACUGGAAUGUCUAGUGUAGGAGUGAAAUCCGUAGAUAUUAGAAGGAACACCAAUAGCGUAGGCAGGUUGCUGGGACGGUUCUGACACUAAGGCACGAAAGCGUAGGGAGCAAACGGGAUUAGAUACCCUUGUAGUC